Molecule: long non-coding RNA, 627 nt
Filed under: Citrus x clementina
Lineage: Eukaryota; Viridiplantae; Streptophyta; Magnoliopsida; Sapindales; Rutaceae
Description: Citrus clementina (C. clementina) long non-coding RNA (CCLE_LNC004955)
Source: RNAcentral
CCCGGCCUUCGGGUGGUUAUUUUUCUGCGCGGCUUUGCCCGCGGCCUAUUUUUGGCACACGGAGGCCCCUCGCAAAGUCUCGCGGCAUUCCGUGUCCGGCGGACGAAGUUGGCCAGCCCCACCCCCCAAGGCUACAGCCCACUCGUUUUUGUGGCCUUUUACCGCUGGACGACCUUGACGCCCCGGCCUUCGGGCGGUUAUUUUUGGGCGCGGUUUGCCCGCGGCCUAUUUUUGGCACACGGAGGCCCCUCGCAAAGUCUCGCGGCAUGCCGAGUCCGGCGGACGAAGUGGGCCAGCCCCACCCCCCAAGGCUAUAGCCCACCCGUUUUUGUGGCCUUUUACCGCUGGACGAACUUGGCGCCCCGGCCUUCGGGUGGUUAUUUUUAGGCGCGGUUUUGCCCGCGGAUUAUUUUUGGCACACGGAGAUCCCUCGCAAAGUCUCACGGCAUUCCGAGUCCGGCGGACGAAGAUGGCCAGCCCCACCCCCCAAGGCUAUAGCCCACCCGUUUUUGUGGCCUUUUUCCGCCGGACGAACUUGGCGCCCCGGCCUUCGGGCGGUUAUUUUUGGGCGCGGCUUUGCCCGCGGCCUAUUUUUGGCACCCGGAGGCCCCUCUUAAAGUCUCACGG